Molecule: ribosomal RNA, 462 nt
Filed under: uncultured bacterium
Lineage: Bacteria
Description: partial 16S ribosomal RNA
Rfam family: Bacterial small subunit ribosomal RNA
Source: RNAcentral
GAUAAACGCUGGCGGCGUGCUUAACACAUGCCAGUCGAACGAAGUUUUUCUUUCGGGAGGAACUUAGUGGCGGACGGGUGAGUAACGCGUGGGUAACCUGCCCUGUACAGGGGGACAACAGCUGGAAACGGCUGCUAAUACCGCAUAAGCCCUUAGCACUGCAUGGUGCAUAGGGAAAAGGAGCAAUCCGGUACAGGAUGGACCCGCGUCUGAUUAGCCAGUUGGCAGGGUAACGGCCUACCAAAGCGAUGAUCAGUAGCCGAUCUGAGAGGAUGUACGGCCACAUUGGGACUGAGACACGGCCCAGACUCCUACGGGAGGCAGCAGUGGGGAAUAUUGCACAAUGGAGGAAACUCUGAUGCAGCGACGCCGCGUGAGUGAAGAAGUAUUUCGGUAUGUAAAGCUCUAUCAGCAGGGAAGAAAAUGACGGUACCUGACGAAGAAGCACCGGCUAAAUACGUG